AAUAUUUAAAGCGGGCUCCACCCAAAAUAUACCCAAAUCCUAGUAUAAUUAGAAUUCCUACUCCAAUUAAUAUUUAAAUCUAUAUUUUAUUUAUCUCCAAUAUAUUUAAAUAUUUAUCAUAAUCUAAUUAGAUUUAUACUCUAAUUAAUAUUUAAAUCUUAAUUUAUCUNAAUAUACCCAAAUCCUAGUAUAAUUAGAAUUCCUACUCCAAUUAAUAUUUAAAUCUAUAUUUUAUUUAUCUCCAAUAUAUUUAAAUAUUUAUCAUAAUCUAAUUAGAUUUAUACUCUAAUUAAUAUUUAAAUCUUAAUUUAUCUCUAAUAGAUUUAAAUAUUAAUUCUUAUCCAACUAGAAAAUCAACUACAAAUCUAACUAAAUCCUAACACUUAUAUAAUGCACACUCAAAACAUACCCAAUCCUAGUACGAUUAGAUUUGUACU
Molecule: long non-coding RNA, 437 nt
Filed under: Ananas comosus (pineapple)
Lineage: Eukaryota; Viridiplantae; Streptophyta; Magnoliopsida; Poales; Bromeliaceae
Description: long non-coding RNA (ACOM_LNC007358)
Source: RNAcentral